AACGCGAAGAACCUUACCUACUCUUGACAUCCAGAGAACUUUCCAGAGAUGGAUUGGUGCCUUCGGGAACUCUGAGACAGGUGCUGCAUGGCUGUCGUCAGCUCGUGUUGUGAAAUGUUGGGUUAAGUCCCGCAACGAGCGCAACCCUUAUCCUUUGUUGCCAGCGGUUCGGCCGGGAACUCAAAGGAGACUGCCAGUGAUAAACUGGAGGAAGGUGGGGAUGACGUCAAGUCAUCAUGGCCCUUACGGGUAGGGCUACACACGUGCUACAAUGGCGUAUACAAAGAGAAGCGACCUCGCGAGAGCAAGCGGACCUCAUAAAGUACGUCGUAGUCCGGAUUGGAGUCUGCAACUCGACUCCAUGAAGUCGGAAUCGCUAGUAAUCGUAGAUCAGAAUGCUACGGUGAAUACGUUCCCGGGCCUUGUACACACCG
This 434-nucleotide ribosomal RNA is filed under the name uncultured Serratia sp. Its description in RNAcentral is "bacterial SSU rRNA". It matches the Rfam family "Bacterial small subunit ribosomal RNA", at positions 958 to 1392 of the family's 1533-position model. Lineage: Bacteria; Pseudomonadati; Pseudomonadota; Gammaproteobacteria; Enterobacterales; Yersiniaceae. The record is from RNAcentral.